Long non-coding RNA from Macaca fascicularis (crab-eating macaque), 1350 nucleotides. The record is from Ensembl. NCBI's taxonomy places the organism in Eukaryota, Metazoa, Chordata, Mammalia, Primates, Cercopithecidae.
GGGAGUGGACACAACCAAGGGUCACAGUUGAGAGAGUUAAAGAAAAACUAUCCUGACAUGUGUUAAAAUGUAAGACCUAAUUCAAGAUUAUGAUUGGGACCAUGGUUCUUUCAAUAGGAGAGACUUAUUGUGCUUAAACUGAACACAGCAAAGAAAACAGAGAGGAUCAGUGGGAUUACUAAGAGAAGACAUCGAGGUAGGGGGAUUCUUGCUAAAGGCAGGCCAAGGCCUUAUACAUCAAAGGUGGGGAUGAGGAACUUGAUCGGAUAUCAAGGUGGGAGGGAUGACUUUGCAGGAUCUUUGCUCAGCCUGGCUUAGCCAGGGCUCGAGAACCAGCCUAGUCAAAAAGAGGGUGCAGAAUCUCAAGUGCGGUCCCAGAGAAAGCCUUUGUCAGGAGCUGUGGAGUUAGGGGCCAUCAUCUCCUCUUGCUCCCUCAGGGUCCUUCUGUCCUCUCAACACUUAAACUGAAUUCCUACACCCACCCUGUCCACCACAAAGCGUGGGCUCAGUGUCACUGAGAUCGAUGUCAGCUUUGAUGUUAGCAACAAGAACAACUGAGACCCAAAUCUAAGAGAUGUGAAGUGGAAGAAUCAAGGACCCAGAAUUCUAGGCAAGCUGAAACUUAGUUCUUACCUUUUUCUCCCAGGGAAAAUCAUCCACAUGAAGAAAACCUAAAUCCCCAAUAGAAGUCAAUAUCUAAAGAGAAACUGUGUGCAACCUGAGACCGAGGCUCGACAGGGGGGCAACCAGGAAAAAGGAAUGUCGUUGGCUUGGGUCCCCACCAGUUUGUGUGUUUGUUUUUUUUGAGACAGAGUCUCACUCUGUCGACCAGGCUGGAGUACAGUGGUGCGAUCAUAGCUCACUGCAGUCUCAAACUAUUCGGCUCAAGUGAUCCUCCCACCUUAGCCUCCCAAGUAGCUGGGACUACAGAUGUUUGCCACCAUGACAGGCUUUUUGUUUUGUUUUGUUUUGUUUUGUUUUUGUAGAGACGGAGUCUCACUGUGUUGCUCAGGCUGAUCUCAAACUCCUGAUCCCAAGGGAUCCUCCCACCUUAGUCUCCCAAAGUGCUGGGAUCACGGGCCUGAGUCACCAUGCCCUGCCCCACCAGUCUUCAUAAAACAGCACAACACACCAGGAAAGGAAAAACCAAAGGCAACGAUGGAACCAGGUAUAGCACCUGGGACAAGGCCUGGCACAGUGCAGUUGCUUAAUGAGUAUUUACUGAAUAAAUGAACUUGAAAGUCCAUUGCUAGCCCUAAAAUGCUACACUCUUAAGAUGAAGGGGCUGACACAUGCUACACCAUGGAUGAAUCUUGAAAACAUUAUGCUAAAUAAAAAAAAAAAAAAAAA